This 403-nucleotide ribosomal RNA is filed under the name uncultured Eubacteriales bacterium. Its description in RNAcentral is "uncultured Clostridiales bacterium partial 16S ribosomal RNA". It matches the Rfam family "Bacterial small subunit ribosomal RNA", at positions 355 to 774 of the family's 1533-position model. Lineage: Bacteria; Bacillati; Bacillota; Clostridia; Eubacteriales. The record is from RNAcentral.
UGGGGAAUAUUGCACAAUGGGCGAAAGCCUGAUGCAGCAACGCCGCGUGAGGGAAGAAGGCCUUCGGGUUGUAAACCUCUAUCGAUGGGGACGAAAAAUGACGGUACCCAAGUAAGAAGCACCGGCCAACUACGUGCCAGCAGCCGCGGUAAUACGUAGGGUGCAAGCGUUAUCCGGAAUUACUGGGUGUAAAGGGUGAGUAGGCGGCCUGUAAAGUCAUGUGUGAAAUGCCUGGGCUUAACCCAGGAACUGCACAAGAAACUUAUAGGCUAGAGUACAGGAGAGGUUGGCGGAAUUCCUAGUGUAGCGGUGAAAUGCGUAGAUAUUAGGAAGAACACCAGUGGCGAAGGCGGCCAACUGGACUGUAACUGACGCUGAAUCACGAAAGCGUGGGGAGCGAACA